UACGUAGGGUGCUAGCGUUGUUCGGAAUCAUUGGGCGUAAAGCGCGUGUAGGUGGUUAUCUAAGUCAGAUGUGAAAUCCCUAGGCUCAACCAAGGAAGUGCAUUUGAAACUAGUUAACUAGAAGAUGGUAGAGGAAGGUGGAAUUCCAGGUGUAGAGGUGAAAUUCGUAGAUAUCUGGAGGAAUACCGGUGGCGAAGGCGGCCUUCUGGACCAUCCUUGACACUAAGACGCGAAAGCGUGGGUAGCAAACAGG
This 253-nucleotide ribosomal RNA is filed under the name uncultured bacterium. Its description in RNAcentral is "partial 16S ribosomal RNA". It matches the Rfam family "Bacterial small subunit ribosomal RNA", at positions 524 to 776 of the family's 1533-position model. The record is from RNAcentral.